UCCGGGGUAGCUCAAUGGCAGAGCGUCGCACUGUUAAUGCGAAUGUUGUGGGUUCGAGUCCCACCCCCGGAG
RNAcentral lists this transfer RNA (72 nucleotides) under Solirubrobacterales bacterium. RNAcentral's name for it is "tRNA-Asn". It matches the Rfam family "tRNA". From Rfam's summary of the family: Transfer RNA (tRNA) molecules are approximately 80 nucleotides in length. Their secondary structure includes four short double-helical elements and three loops (D, anti-codon, and T loops). Further hydrogen bonds mediate the characteristic L-shaped molecular structure. tRNAs have two regions of fundamental functional importance: the anti-codon, which is responsible for specific mRNA codon recognition, and the 3' end, to which the tRNAs corresponding amino acid is attached (by aminoacyl-tRNA synthetases). tRNAs cope with the degeneracy of the genetic code in two manners: having more than one tRNA (with a specific anti-codon) for a particular amino acid; and 'wobble' base-pairing, i.e. permitting non-standard base-pairing at the 3rd anti-codon position. Lineage: Bacteria; Bacillati; Actinomycetota; Thermoleophilia; Solirubrobacterales. The record is from RNAcentral. RNAcentral also lists the same sequence under 2 other names.